UAGAUUUCGUGGUGUGAACUC
This 21-nucleotide non-coding RNA is filed under the name Arabidopsis thaliana (thale cress). Lineage: Eukaryota; Viridiplantae; Streptophyta; Magnoliopsida; Brassicales; Brassicaceae. The record is from RNAcentral.